GACGAACGCUGGCGGCGUGCCUAAUACAUGCAAGUCGAGCGAAGUUUUUCUGGUGCUUGCACCGGAAAAACUUAGCGGCGAACGGGUGAGUAACACGUAAAGAACCUGCCUCAUAGACUGGGACAACUAUUGGAAACGAUAGCUAAUACCGGAUAACAGCAUUAACUGCAUGGUUGAUGUUUAAAAGUUGGUUUUGCUAACACUAUGAGAUGGCUUUGCGGUGCAUUAGCUAGUUGGUGGGGUAAAGGCCUACCAAGGCGACGAUGCAUAGCCGACCUGAGAGGGUGAUCGGCCACACUGGGACUGAGACACGGCCCAGACUCCUACGGGAGGCAGCAGUAGGGAAUAUUCCGCAAUGGGCGAAAGCCUGACGGAGCAACGCCGCGUGAGUGAAGAAGGAUUUCGGUUCGUAAAGCUCUGUUGUUAGGGAAGAAUGAUUGUGUAGUAACUAUACACAGUAGAGACGGUACCUAACCAGAAAGCCACGGCUAACUACGUG
RNAcentral lists this ribosomal RNA (499 nucleotides) under uncultured bacterium. Its description in RNAcentral is "partial 16S ribosomal RNA". It matches the Rfam family "Bacterial small subunit ribosomal RNA", at positions 28 to 507 of the family's 1533-position model. The record is from RNAcentral.